AACGAACGCUGGCGGCGCGCUUAACACAUGCAAGUCGAACGAGAAGGCGUAGCAAUACGCUUGUACAGUGGCGAACGGGUGAGGAAUACAUGGGUAACCUACCCUCGAGUGGGGGAUAACCCGCCGAAAGGCGGGCUAAUACCGCGUACGCUUCCGAUCUUGCGGGAUUGGAAGGAAAGCUGUCCCUUGGGGAUGGCGCUCAAGGAUGGGCUCAUGUCCUAUCAGCUUGUUGGAGGGUAACGGCCUACCAAGGCAUCGACGGGUAGCUGGUCUGAGAGGACGAUCAGCCACACUGGCACUGCGACACGGGCCAGACUCCUACGGGAGGCAGCAGUGAGGAAUAUUGCGCAAUGGGCGAAAGCCUGACGCAGCGACGCCGCGUGGGGGAGUGAA
This 393-nucleotide ribosomal RNA is filed under the name uncultured bacterium. RNAcentral's name for it is "bacterial SSU rRNA". It matches the Rfam family "Bacterial small subunit ribosomal RNA", at positions 29 to 413 of the family's 1533-position model. The record is from RNAcentral.